RNAcentral lists this long non-coding RNA (468 nucleotides) under Zonotrichia albicollis (white-throated sparrow). RNAcentral describes it as "lncRNA (ENSZALG00000000628.1)". The record is from RNAcentral. Lineage: Eukaryota; Metazoa; Chordata; Aves; Passeriformes; Passerellidae.
GCCCCCUCGCCAGGCAGAUAAUUGCUACAUAUUCUUUUGUACUGCUGCCACCACCUCCACCAUCGGGCGUUUUCCCAAACAAUUGCCUGAGCAGCCUCAGAGCAAUCCAUCUCCCUGCCGACACUGCUUUGGUAUUAGGGGUCUCCCAGGAGCAGAGAUGCCCUGUGACUGCUCCUGUCUGAUCACAUUCCCCACUCUCCUCACCCUGAAGCUAACAUCUCUGCACUGGCUGGAGUAAGUCCAAAGGUUGUUAAACACUGGUCUGGCCACUGGCUUUUGCUGCAGGAGUGAAAGUGGAUGAAUGCCUUGUGCCCAUCCAUACCUUGCUAUGAGCUCCUUCUUCUGACAUCCUACCUUGGGGCUAAGCCUCCUCCCCUGGCUGUGGUGCUACAGAUAUAAAUCACCUUCUGUAGCUGGGUAACUCUUUACUUUAAGGGCCUGUUCCUUUAAGCAAAAGCAGUAGGAGAG